Molecule: non-coding RNA, 75 nt
Organism: Streptomyces natalensis ATCC 27448
Lineage: Bacteria; Bacillati; Actinomycetota; Actinomycetes; Kitasatosporales; Streptomycetaceae
Source: Rfam
CUUCACGGCGCCGAGCAGCAGCGGCCGGUCCGUCGGCCGGUCCUGUCCGUAGGCGGCGAUGAGGGCGUGCGCCUC